GGCAAGAGUUUAGUGGCUAUACCACACAAGUGAAGUAUGGAAUUGAUCGGAUCAUGUGUACUCUUCCUCGCAUGUAUCAGCUUGCACAAGGUGGAACUGCUGUUGGAACUGGAUUGAACACAAAGAAGGGAUUUGAUGUCAAAAUAGCUGCAGCAGUGGCUGAGGAAACAACACUACCAUUUGUGACAGCCGAAAACAAGUUUGAAGCUUUGGCUGCUCAUGAUUCUUUUGUUGAAAGUAGUGGAGCCCUUAACACUGUGGCUACCUCUCUAAUGAAGAUUGCAAAUGACAUACGCUUAUUAGGAAGUGGUCCUCGAUGCGGCCUUGGUGAACUCAUACUUCCUGAAAAUGAACCAGGCAGCAGUAUUAUGCCAGGAAAGGUUAAUCCGACCCAGUGUGAGGCACUCACUAUGGUCUGUGCUCAGGUCAUGGGCAAUCAUGUGGCUAUUACAGUGGGUGGAUCGAAUGGCCAUUUUGAGUUAAAUGUGUUCAAACCUAUGAUUGCUAGUAAUCUCAUACAUUCUGUAAGAUUGCUUGGGGAUGCAUCUGCUUCCUUUGAAAAGAACUGUGUGAGGGGAAUUCAAGCUAAUAGGGAGAGAAUUUCAAAAUUACUUCAUGAGUCGCUAAUGCUUGUCACAUCGUUGAAUCCUAAAAUUGGUUAUGACAAUGCUGCAGCAGUUGCCAAGCUAGCUCAUAAGGAAGGAAGUACUCUAAAGGAAUCUGCAUUAAAACUUCGAGUGCUUACCAGUGAAGAAUUCGAUAGCCUUGUGGUGCCUGAAAAAAUGAUUGGCCCUUCUGACUGAGAACUUACUUUCGUGAGACUUUCAGCAUCACGUCCAGGAUAUUUAUUUUGGUUUUUGCAACAUAUUGUAUCACUUGAUAGGGAAUAAUGACAAGUGGUGAUUCGACUUUGAUACAACUAAAAACAUAUUCUUUGAGGCUUUUCCUCGAGGCAGCUAGAUAGCUAGCAAGCCAAGUUUCUCUUUAUUUGUCAGAUAAGUAACAGCAGCUAUUGAUGGCGUUAAUAAUGGAAAGCCUCCCUCAUUUU
RNAcentral lists this unclassified non-coding RNA (1048 nucleotides) under Hevea brasiliensis (rubber tree). The record is from RNAcentral. Lineage: Eukaryota; Viridiplantae; Streptophyta; Magnoliopsida; Malpighiales; Euphorbiaceae.